AAAAAAAUUGUUCUGGUAAUACUCUGUUCAACACUACAAGUAAUUCUGCAUCAAGAGAAAGCUCCAAAUAUUCUAACAACCAUUCAGCAUUUCCAAUGAUCUUAGAUCCAUGCUUGGUGCGAAAACUGAAAACGAGAGAAAGGAAAUGCUGUGGCCAGGUCCAUCUGAUACUGUGAAAUAUUUCUUAUCUUGAUUUUCUCCUGGAUAAGAUCCUGGGGCUUGGCUGGAGCCAAGAUGGCUGAAUAGGAACAGAUCCGGUCUACAGCUCCCAGCGUGAGUGAUGCAGAAGACGGGUGAUUUCUGCAUUUCCAUCUGAGGAACGCAGCUCCUCACCAGCAAUGGAACAAAGCUGGAUGGAGAAUGACUUUGACGAGUUGAGAGAAGAAGGCUUCAGACAAUCAAACUACUCCGAGCUACAGGAGGAAAUUCAAACCAAAGGCAAAGAAGUUGAAAAGUUUGAAAAAAAUUUAGACGAAUGUAUAACUAGAAUAACCAAUACAGAGAAGUGCUUAAAGGAGCUGAUGGAGCUGAAAGCCAAGGCUUGAGAACUACGUGAAGAAUACAGAAGCCUCAGGAGCCAAUGCGAUCAACUGGAAGCAAGGGUAUCAGUGAUGGAAGAUGAAAUGAAUGAAAUGAAGUGAGAAGGGAAGUUUAGAGAAAAAAGAAUAAAAAGAAACAAACAAAGUCUCCAAGAAAUAUGGGACUAUGUGAAAAGACCAAAUCUACAUCUGAUUGGUGUACCUGAAAGUGACAGGGAGAAUGGAACCAAGUUGGAAAACAUUCUGCAGGAUAUUAUCCAGGAGAACUUCCCCAAUCUAGCAAGGCAGGCCAACAUUCAGAUUCAGGAAAUAUAGAGAACGCCACAAAGAUGCUCCUCGAGAAGAGCAACUCCAAGACACAUAAUUGUCAGAUUCACCAAAGUUGAAAUGAAGGAAAAAAUGUUAAGGGCAGCCAGAGAGAAAGGUCAGGUUACCCACAAAGGGAAGCGCAUCAGACUAACAGCGGAUCUCUCGGCAGAAACUCUACAAGCCAGAAGAGAGUGGGCGCCAAUAUUCAACAUUCUUAAAGAAAAGAAUUUUCAACCCAGAAUUUCAUAUCCAGCCAAACUAAGCUUCAUAAGCGAAGGAGAAAUAAAAUACUUUACAGACAAGCAAAUGCUGAGAGAUUUUGUCACCACCAGGCCUGCCCUAAAAGAGCUCCUGAAGGAAGCACUAAAUAUGGAAAGGAACAACCGGUACCAGCCACUGCAAAAUCAUGCCAAAUUGUAAAGACCAUCAAGGCUAGGGAGAAACUGCAUCAACUAACAAGCAAAAUCACCAGCUAACAUCAAAAUGACAGGAUCAAAUUCACACAUAACAAUAUUAACUUUAAAUGUAAAUGGACUAAAUGCUCCAAUUAAAAGACACAGACUGGCAAAUUGGAUAAAGAGUCAAGACCCAUCAGUGUGCUGUAUUCAGGAAACCCAUCUCACGUGCAGAGACAAAUAUAGGCUCAAAAUAAAAGGAUGGAGGAAGAUCUACCAAGCAAAUGGAAAACAAAAAAGGCAGGGGUUGCAAUCCUAGUCUCUGAUAAAACAGACUUUAAACCAACAAAGAUCAAAAGAGACAAAGAAGGCCAUUACAUAAUGGUAAAGGGAUUAGUUCAACAAGAAGAGCUAACUGUCCUAAAUAUAUAUGCACCCAAUACAGGAGCACCCAGAUUCAUAAAGCAAGUCCUGAGUGACCUACAAAGAGACUUAGACUCCCACACAAUAAUAAUGGGAGACUUUAACAUCCCACUGUCAACAUUAGACAGAUCAACGAGACAGAAAGUCAACAAGGAUAUCCAGGAAUUGAACUCAGCUCUGCACCAAGCAGACCUAAUAGACAUCUACAGAACUCUCCACCCCAAAUCAACAGAAUAUACAUUUUUUCCAGCACCGCACCACACCUAUUCCAAAAUUGACCACACAGUUGGAAGUAAAGCUCUCCUCAGCAAAUGUAAAAGAUCAGAAAUUAUAACAAACUGUCUCUCAGACCACAGUGCAAUCAAACUAGAACUCAGGAUUAAGAAACUCACUCAAAACCGCUCAACUACAUGGAAACUGAACAACUUACUCCUGAAUGACUACUGGGUACAUAACAAAAUGAAGGCAGAAAUAAAGAUAUUCUUUGAAACCAAUGAGAACAAAGACACAACAUACCAGAAUCUCUGGGACAGAUUCAAAGCAGUGUGUAGUGGGAAAUGUAUAGCACUAAGUGCCCCACAAGAGAAAGCAGGAAAGAUUCAAAAUUGACACCCUAACAUCACAAUUAAAAGAACUAGAGAAGCAAGAGCAAACAAAUUCAAAAACUAGCAGAAGGCAAGAAAUAACUAAGAUCAGAGCAGAACUGAAGGAAAGAGAGACACAAAAAACCCUUCAAAAAAUUAAUGAAUCCAGGAGCUGGUUUUUUGAAAAGAUCAACAAAAUUGAUAGACUGCUAGCAAGACUAAUAA
Molecule: long non-coding RNA, 2475 nt
Filed under: Pan troglodytes (chimpanzee)
Lineage: Eukaryota; Metazoa; Chordata; Mammalia; Primates; Hominidae
Description: lincRNA
Source: RNAcentral